UGUUAUUAUAAUAAAUGAUGAUUUAAAUAUAAAAAUACAAGAAUAUUAUAUAUAUAAAAUAGAAGAAUUGGAAUAUAUUUUGAUACUAAGAUACCUGCAUUAUAAAUAUAUUAUGAGAAUGGAUGACCGAACAGUAUUGUUCCGAUAAAUGAAGUUGAAUGAUAUGCUGAAGUGCAAGCGGUGCUCACACAAGGAUGUGAUUGGUAUGCCGAAGCACAAGCGGUACUCACUGAAUGAUAAUACACACACUUUAAUAUUGUUAUAAUAAAAGGUGAAUGGUAUGCCGAAGUGCAAGCGGUGCUCACACAGGGUUGUGAAUGGUAUGCCGAAGCACAAGCGGUGCUCACCUAAUGAUAAUUAGUAUAUAGUGGCUGGUAUGCCGAAGUGCAAGCGGUGCUCACACUGGGUUGUGAAUGGUAUGCCGAAGCACAAGCGGUACCCACUAUACUAUUUAUCUGAUAAAGAAUUCUGAGGAACAAUGAACAUACAGUGUAGCCGACCAAAAAUUCACCUAGCAACGUUGCCGCGUAGCAGACCAGCGUCAGACCAACAUUAAGUACAUCAAUACGAACAGUCGGAAUAUGGUUUACUAAUUACUUAUAGUCUCUUUGAGUUUUGUUUUUAAUUAUGAUUGCUAAGUGCAUUUAAUAUCACCGCAUAGAUAUAAUAACUUUAUUAAUUUUGCUAAUUCAUUCAGUUUGUUAACAUACAUUUAGAACUUGUUAGUUAGCGUUCGAAUGGCCGACAGGGAAUGGGGACAUUCCCAAUAACAGGACGGCCGACUGUUAGCGUUUAAAUUUACCAAUGCUAUUCUUUACUAAUAUCAAGCUACUUAUUUCAUCAUAGGUCUGGCCGGAUUACUCUAGAAGUUGUUCUUUAGUUCAUUUAGUUUCUAUAUUGUCUGUGAUUCGCAUUGACUGGCCGGUCACUCGAUUCAUUCAUUCAUUCAUUCAAGAUGGCAGAAAAAACAAGAAUAACUUUUAAGGAUUUCUGUUUGUUAUUAGAUUCCUUUUUGAAUAGUUUGUGUUUCUUAUAAAAGUAUUUUACUUCAAACUUC
Molecule: long non-coding RNA, 1057 nt
Organism: Plutella xylostella (diamondback moth)
Lineage: Eukaryota; Metazoa; Arthropoda; Insecta; Lepidoptera; Plutellidae
Source: RefSeq, a predicted model, not a curated record